This 267-nucleotide long non-coding RNA is filed under the name Nicotiana benthamiana. RNAcentral's name for it is "long non-coding RNA (NBEN_LNC040528)". The record is from RNAcentral. Lineage: Eukaryota; Viridiplantae; Streptophyta; Magnoliopsida; Solanales; Solanaceae.
UUCAAAACUUUCUUAACGAGAAAAAAAACGAGUGACUCAGGAAUGACACUAUAGAGGGCUAGUCUUCAAAUAUUACUUUUGUCUUUAAUGUGUUUAAAAAUAACUCACAUACCUGCAUAUACUUGUUGUUUGUCAGGGAUAUCUUUAUCGGAUGGGUAAAUUUUAAGCUAUAUUUACGCAACUUAUAUGGAUGGUUGUUCACAAACUUUACCCCGGUUGACAUAACAUUGUGAUUGUUCAAUUUGUUCAAUAUGUCAUCAAACUCCG